Molecule: ribosomal RNA, 253 nt
Filed under: uncultured bacterium
Lineage: Bacteria
Description: partial 16S ribosomal RNA
Rfam family: Bacterial small subunit ribosomal RNA
Source: RNAcentral
UACGGGGGGGGUAAGCGUUGUUCGGAAUUACUGGGCGUAAAGGGCUCGUAGGCGGCCAACUAAGUCAGACGUGAAAUCCCUCAGCUUAACUGGGGAACUGCGUCUGAUACUGGAUGGCUUGGAUUCGGGAGAGGAAUGCGGAAUUCCAGGUGUAGCGGUGAAAUGCGUAGAUAUCGGGAAGAACACCCGUGGCGAAGGCGGCUCUCUGGGACGGUACUGACGCUGAGACGCGAAAGCGUGGGGAGCGAACAGG